Molecule: transfer RNA, 86 nt
Filed under: Candidatus Woesearchaeota archaeon
Lineage: Archaea; Nanobdellati; Candidatus Woesearchaeota
Description: tRNA-Leu
Source: RNAcentral
GCGGGGGUGGCAGAGCCUGGUCAAAUGCGCUACCUUGAGGGGGUAGUCCCUUAGUGGGUGCGCGNNUUCGAAUCACGUCCCCCGCA